This 901-nucleotide long non-coding RNA is filed under the name Numida meleagris (helmeted guineafowl). RNAcentral's name for it is "lncRNA (ENSNMEG00000014485.1)". Lineage: Eukaryota; Metazoa; Chordata; Aves; Galliformes; Numididae. The record is from RNAcentral.
AUGUUCACCUACUGCUCAGUCAUGAACAGUCUCCAAAGGUUGGUAGUGUUGAAAAUCCUGUGGGCGUCCAGUGUGACUGUGGUCAAGAACGCUAUGUUAGAAAUAGGAGCGAGCUUUGCCCAUCUUCUUGAUCCCGUGGUGUCAUCGAGCAAGGUCACCCUGACGCUUCUGCCUGGUCUUGGUGGUCCACAAGGAGGGGAGGGGUCAUCCUCUCCAAGGAACAAACCCUCUUCCCCUGACACAGAGAGCUCUGCUCCGCGUCGAUGAUGCCAAGUGGUGGGAGAUGUGUUUUUGCAGAAAGCUGCUUUUGUUUAAAAUCUGCAGCUCUGAUUUUCACAGCAGAUCUACUUUCCAAGAGCUCUAGGUCUUAAGCAGAGAGGAAAAUCCCACUGCUUGCUCACAUUUUUAUUCCUCUGAAUAAUCCCUCUACUCAGUGCCACACAGCAUCUUUUCCUCUACAGCAGCUUCUGGUUUCUGGAACUGUUUUCACAUUUGGAUCUUAGAUUUUUUUUAGUCUUACAUUUUAUUAGAGCCCUCUCAGCCUGGGAGGUGCCCCAGUGAGCAGCCCAUGGUUUGGACUCUAUAAGUCAAUGGCUCCUGCUACGAAUUCGGCUCCUUUCCAAAUUCUAAGAGAAUGCCAGCAGUUCUCUCCUUGGAAGUGUCCAUCUCCCAGAGGCUGGAAAUGGGAGAACCUGACACUUGCCCAUUUCUUCUUACACACACUAUUCUUUUUUUGAAUGAGCCACUUGCUUUCUGUCUCUUCUUCCCCGGUUCCGCCAAUAAUUCUUUGUUUCCCAUUACUCUAUGUGUGUUUAUUCCAAUACUGUUCCUCCUAGAACCAUCCCCACCACCACAGAUGCUGGUGUUGGGGUGAAGUGGGGAGGGAGAGGCUCAGAACUCG